AUGGAUGAGGGACUGAAUACGGUGUGCAUGCAUGGUAGAGUGGCGGACGGCUUCAUCGGGCUGCUCAAGAUCCGCGUCGUCCGGACCGGCACGUCCGAGGAGCUGAUGGACUAUGCUAUCUCUCAUGGCACCUCCAUCAACCAAUACAAGGUGCCCUGGUGCUUGACGUUCCCGCCGAUCAUCGAGCUGUGCAUGCUCCGCUCGCGCGUGGUGUCCAUCCUGUUUAGCCCUGCCGUGCGGCACUGGACCCCUACUCCCAUCUGGCGCACCAAAAGGGCUCCUGUUCAGAUUAUAGACUGA
RNAcentral lists this ribosomal RNA (300 nucleotides) under Triticum aestivum (bread wheat). RNAcentral's name for it is "partial small subunit ribosomal RNA". The record is from RNAcentral. Lineage: Eukaryota; Viridiplantae; Streptophyta; Magnoliopsida; Poales; Poaceae.